GAUGAACGCUGGCGGCGUGCCUAAUACAUGCCAGUCGAGCGAACAGACGAGGAGCUUGCUCCUCUGACGUUAGCGGCGGACGGGUGAGUAACACGUGGAUAACCUACCUAUAAGACUGGGAUAACUUCGGGAAACCGGAGCUAAUACCGGAUAAUAUAUUGAACCGCAUGGUUCAAUAGUGAAAGACGGUUUUGCUGUCACUUAUAGAUGGAUCCGCGCCGCAUUAGCUAGUUGGUAAGGUAACGGCUUACCAAGGCGACGAUGCGUAGCCGACCUGAGAGGGUGAUCGGCCACACUGGAACUGAGACACGGUCCAGACUCCUACGGGAGGCAGCAGUAGGGAAUCUUCCGCAAUCGGCGAAAGCCUGACGGAGCAACGCCGCGUGAGUGAUGAAGGUCUUCGGAUCGUAAAACUCUGUUAUUAGGGAAGAACAAAUGUGUAAGUAACUAUGCACGUCUUGACGGUACCUAAUCAGAAAGCCACGGCUAACUACGUG
This 497-nucleotide ribosomal RNA is filed under the name uncultured bacterium. RNAcentral describes it as "partial 16S ribosomal RNA". It matches the Rfam family "Bacterial small subunit ribosomal RNA", at positions 28 to 507 of the family's 1533-position model. The record is from RNAcentral.